ACAGUACAAACUGAGCAGGCCGGGAUACAGAGGUGUCCUGCGAGCCGGGUCACAUGCGUGACAGUGGAUGGAACAUAUCUGCAUCCACGGGACAGU
Molecule: non-coding RNA, 96 nt
Filed under: human gut metagenome
Description: NiCo riboswitch
Rfam family: NiCo (Nickel/Cobalt) riboswitch aptamer
Source: RNAcentral